ACCCAGCUGACGAGUCCCAAAUAGAACGAAACGUGCGUCCUGGAU
RNAcentral lists this non-coding RNA (45 nucleotides) under Schistosoma haematobium. The record is from RNAcentral. Lineage: Eukaryota; Metazoa; Platyhelminthes; Trematoda; Strigeidida; Schistosomatidae.